Molecule: ribosomal RNA, 434 nt
Filed under: uncultured Eubacterium sp.
Lineage: Bacteria; Bacillati; Bacillota; Clostridia; Eubacteriales; Eubacteriaceae
Description: bacterial SSU rRNA
Rfam family: Bacterial small subunit ribosomal RNA
Source: RNAcentral
AACGCGAAGAACCUUACCAAAUCUUGACAUCCCGAUGACAGACUGUGUAAAGCAGUUUCUCUUCGGAGCAUCGGUGACAGGUGGUGCAUGGUUGUCGUCAGCUCGUGUCGUGAGAUGUUGGGUUAAGUCCCGCAACGAGCGCAACCCUUGUCUUUAGUAGCCAGCAUUUAGGAUGGGCACUCUAGAGAGACUGCCAGGGAUAACCUGGAGGAAGGUGGGGAUGACGUCAAAUCAUCAUGCCCCUUAUGAUUUGGGCUACACACGUGCUACAAUGGCGUAAACAAAGAGAAGCAAAGGAGUGAUCCGGAGCAAAUCUCAAAAAUAACGUCUCAGUUCGGAUUGUAGUCUGCAACUCGACUACAUGAAGCUGGAAUCGCUAGUAAUCGCGAAUCAGAAUGUCGCGGUGAAUACGUUCCCGGGUCUUGUACACACGC